This is a long non-coding RNA of Capsella rubella, 1427 nucleotides long. RefSeq lists it as uncharacterized. The record is from RefSeq and is a predicted model, not a curated record. Lineage: Eukaryota; Viridiplantae; Streptophyta; Magnoliopsida; Brassicales; Brassicaceae. The transcript has 2 exons.
UCUAAUCGAGUUAACUAGGAAUAUAGAAAUUAGGGUUCGUCGGAUUUGCGAAUUUAGGGUUUCGAAAAUUGGGGAAAACCUUUUAAUUCGUUGUUAAGUGUUUAACUAGGGCAAUUAGAGGAAUUUUUUGAGUGUGUGGCUGAUUGUAAAGCAUGAAUGUUGAAAGAAAUAAGUUAUGGUUCGUGGGAUUUGAGAAAUUUAGGUUUCGACAUUUGUGGAAAUUUGUUUAUUGGAUGUGAAGUCUAUAAUUAAGGGAACUGUAAGCAUAUUUGAGUGUCUGGUUCAUUCUCAGUCAUGAUUUGUGAUGGGAACUAGUCUUGUUCUCAGUUAUGAGUGUCUGGUUCAUUCUCAGUGAGGAUUGGUCGAUUCUUUACAUUAAUAUUAUGUUGGAUGCUACAUUGUAUUCAUGAAUUUGUUGUUGUUUGCAUGACAGUUAGGUUUUAAGACAUCUUUAUGUUUGAAAUGUGUAUUGAUUUGGUUAAUUUUGAUCUUGAAUUUCAAUGUUUCUUUUGUGUUUUAUGUAUGAGGUUUGUCUUCCCGGAGAGUGAUGAGUGGAGAUAUUGAUAGAGAAGUGAGAAGAGGAGUAUCCAAUCGAUAUGGAGAAAAGUAAAUCCAAUUUCAUUUUGAAUUUUAAUUAUUGUUGUCUAGUUGUGUGAAGUAAUAUUGUGAAGCUGUUAUUAUUAGUGUUAAUAUUAGGUGAACCUUUUGUUGAGUUUAGAGAAAAGGCAAAAAACAGUUGAGUGUCAUUGUCAAAUACUUGAAACUCGUUUGUGUUCAAUGCUUGUAUGUUGUUCAUUAGGUCUAGGUUUGAGUGUCUGGUUCAUUCUCAGUCAUGAUUGGUGAUUGCAACUACUCUUGUUUGGUGAUGGGAACUACUCUUGUUCUAGUUCAUUCUCAAUUAUGAGUGUCUGGUUCAUUCUCAGUCAUGAGUGGUCGAUUGUUUACAUUAAUAUUCUGUUGGAUGCCACAUUGUAUCCAUGAAUUUGUUGCUGUUUGCAUGACAAUUAGGUUUUUUUGGCAUGUUUAUGUUUGAAAUGUUAAUUGAUUUGGUUGAUUUUUAUCUUGAAUUUCAAUGUUUCUUCUCUGUUUUAUGUGUGAGGUUGGUGAUCAUUGGACAUUAGAAAUCAAGCGCGGAGAUAUUAUCAGAGAAGUGAGAAGAGGAGUAUCAACAAUCGAUAUUGAGAUUCACGGAUUCACUUCUCAACUUGCGAGGAUAGCCACAACAUUUCUCUUGAUUCGGACAGUACAAAACACCACAAGACUUGUGUUGCAGAUUCACGGAUUCACUACACAACAAAUUAGGAUUUUGAUAGCUUUGCUAUAUAAAUAAUCAUGUACUCUAUGUUUUAGUCAUCUCUAUGUUUUAGUCAUUCUGAUUUCUCAUUUCUUCUUCUUCUAUCUCAAAUCUCAAAGUAAUAUUCUUCUUA